UCAAACUUGGUCAUUUAGAGGAAGUAAAAGUCGUAACAAGGUCUCCGUUGGUGAACCAGCGGAGGGAUCAUUACAGAGUUCUCGCAACUCCCACACCCCUCGGAUACCAUACCGUACGUUGCCUCGGCGGGGUCGCUCCCGCCGGCGGCCCGGCAAGCUCUGUUUCUCCCAGUCGAGUUGAGUUCUGAACUUCGUAACAGAAUACGUUAAAAACUUUCAACAACGGAUCUCUUGGUUCUGGCAUCGAUGAAGAACGCAGC
This 260-nucleotide unclassified non-coding RNA is filed under the name uncultured fungus. RNAcentral's name for it is "partial contains small subunit ribosomal RNA, internal transcribed spacer 1, and 5.8S ribosomal RNA". The stretch from base 1 to 73 matches the Rfam family "Eukaryotic small subunit ribosomal RNA", at positions 1759 to 1831 of the family's 1831-position model. The record is from RNAcentral. Lineage: Eukaryota; Fungi.